Molecule: ribosomal RNA, 496 nt
Filed under: uncultured bacterium
Lineage: Bacteria
Description: partial 16S ribosomal RNA
Rfam family: Bacterial small subunit ribosomal RNA
Source: RNAcentral
GAUGAACGCUGGCGGCGUGCCUAAUACAUGCAAGUCGAGCGAACAGACGAGGAGCUUGCUCCUCUGACGUUAGCGGCGGACGGGUGAGUAACACGUGGAUAACCUACCUAUAAGACUGGGAUAACUUCGGGAAACCGGAGCUAAUACCGGAUAAUAUAUUGAACCGCAUGGUUCAAUAGUGAAAGACGGUUUUGCUGUCACUUAUAGAUGGAUCCGCGCCGCAUUAGCUAGUUGGUAAGGUAACGGCUUACCAAGGCAACGAUGCGUAGCCGACCUGAGAGGGGGAUGGGCCACACUGGAACUGAGACACGGUCCAGACCCCUACGGGAGGCCGGAGGAGGGAAUCUUCCGCAAGGGGCGAAAGCCUGACGGAGCAACGCCGGGUGAGGGAUGAAGGUCUUCGGAUCGUAAAACUCUUUUAUUAGGGAAAAAAAAAUGUGUAAGUAACUAUGCACGUCUUGACGGUACCAAAUCAAAAAGCCACGGCUAACUACGU